CCUACGGGAGGCAGCAGUAGGGAAUAUUGCUCAAUGGGGGAAACCCUGAAGCAGCAACGCCGCGUGGAGGAUGAAGGUUUUCGGAUUGUAAACUCCUUUUGUUGGAGAAGAUAAUGACGGUAUCUAACGAAUAAGCACCGGCUAACUCCGUGCCAGCAGCCGCGGUAAUACGGAGGGUGCAAGCGUUACUCGGAAUCACUGGGCGUAAAGAGCGCGUAGGCGGGCUAGCAAGUCAGAUGUGAAAUCCUAUGGCUUAACCAGAGAACUGCAUUUGAAACUGUGAUUCUAGAGGAUGGGAGAGGUAGGUGGAAUUCUUGGUGUAGGGGUAAAAUCCGUAGAGAUCAAGAGGAAUACUCAUUGCGAAGGCGACCUGCUAGAACAUAACUGACGCUGAUGCUCGAAAGCGUGGGGAGCGAACAGGAUUAGAUACCCUGGUAGUC
RNAcentral lists this ribosomal RNA (440 nucleotides) under uncultured bacterium. Its description in RNAcentral is "partial 16S ribosomal RNA". It matches the Rfam family "Bacterial small subunit ribosomal RNA", at positions 338 to 795 of the family's 1533-position model. The record is from RNAcentral.